This 403-nucleotide ribosomal RNA is filed under the name uncultured bacterium. Its description in RNAcentral is "bacterial SSU rRNA". It matches the Rfam family "Bacterial small subunit ribosomal RNA", at positions 355 to 775 of the family's 1533-position model. The record is from RNAcentral.
UGGGGAAUAUUGGACAAUGGGCGCAAGCCUGAUCCAGCCAUGCCGCGUGAGUGAUGAAGGCCUUAGGGUUGUAAAGCUCUUUCGGCGGGGACGAUAAUGACGGUACCCGCAGAAGAAGCCCCGGCUAACUUCGUGCCAGCAGCCGCGGUAAUACGAAGGGGGCUAGCGUUGUUCGGAAUCACUGGGCGUAAAGGGCGCGUAGGCGGCUUGAUAAGUCGGGGGUGAAAGCCUGUGGCUCAACCACAGAAUUGCCUUCGAUACUGUCGAGCUUGAGACCGGAAGAGGUAAGUGGAACUGCGAGUGUAGAGGUGAAAUUCGUAGAUAUUCGCAAGAACACCAGUGGCGAAGGCGGCUUACUGGUCCGGUUCUGACGCUGAGGCGCGAAAGCGUGGGGAGCAAACAG